AUGAACGCUAGCUACAGGCUUAACACAUGCAAGUCGAGGGGCAGCAUGGUCUUAGCUUGCUAAGGCCGAUGGCGACCGGCGCACGGGUGAGUAACACGUAUCCAACCUGCCGUCUACUCUUGGACAGCCUUCUGAAAGGAAGAUUAAUACAAGAUGGCAUCAUGAGUCCGCAUGUUCACAUGAUUAAAGGUAUUCCGGUAGACGAUGGGGAUGCGUUCCAUUAGAUAGUAGGCGGGGUAACGGCCCACCUAGUCUUCGAUGGAUAGGGGUUCUGAGAGGAAGGUCCCCCACAUUGGAGCUGAGACACGGUCCAAACUCCUACGGGAGGCAGCAGUGAGGAAUAUUGGUCAAUGGGCGAGAGCCUGAACCAGCCAAGUAGCGUGAAGGAUGACUGCCCUAUGGGUUGUAAACUUCUUUUAUAAAGGAAUAAAGUCGGGUAUGGAUACCCGUUUGCAUGUACUUUAUGAAUAAGGAUCGGCUAACUCCGUGCCAGCAGCCGCGGUAAUACGGAGGAUCCGAGCGUUAUCCGGAUUUAUUGGGUUUAAAGGGAGCGUAGAUGGAUGUUUAAGUCAGUUGUGAAAGUUUGCGGCUCAACCGUAAAAUUGCAGUUGAUACUGGAUAUCUUGAGUGCAGUUGAGGCAGGCGGAAUUCGUGGUGUAGCGGUGAAAUGCUUAGAUAUCACGAAGAACUCCGAUUGCGAAGGCAGCCUGCCAAGCUGCAACUGACAUUGAGGCUCGAAAGUGUGGGUAUCAAACAGGAUUAGAUACCCUGGUAGUCCACACGGUAAACGAUGAAUACUCGCUGUUUGCGAUAUACUGCAAGCGGCCAAGCGAAAGCGUUAAGUAUUCCACCUGGGGAGUACGCCGGCAACGGUGAAACUCAAAGGAAUUGACGGGGGCCCGCACAAGCGGAGGAACAUGUGGUUUAAUUCGAUGAUACGCGAGGAACCUUACCCGGGCUUAAAUUGCAGAUGAAUUACGGUGAAAGCCGUAAGCCGCAAGGCAUCUGUGAAGGUGCUGCAUGGUUGUCGUCAGCUCGUGCCGUGAGGUGUCGGCUUAAGUGCCAUAACGAGCGCAACCCUUGUUGUCAGUUACUAACAGGUCAUGCUGAGGACUCUGACAAGACUGCCAUCGUAAGAUGUGAGGAAGGUGGGGAUGACGUCAAAUCAGCACGGCCCUUACGUCCGGGGCUACACACGUGUUACAAUGGGGGGUACAGAGGGCCGCUACCACGCGAGUGGAUGCCAAUCCCCAAAACCUCUCUCAGUUCGGACUGGAGUCUGCAACCCGACUCCACGAAGCUGGAUUCGCUAGUAAUCGCGCAUCAGCCACGGCGCGGUGAAUACGUUCCCGGGCCUUGUACACACCGCCCGUCAAGCCAUGGGAGCCGGGGGUACCUGAAGUGCGUAACCGCGAGGAGCGCCCUAGGGUAAAACUGGUGACUG
This 1444-nucleotide ribosomal RNA is filed under the name uncultured organism. RNAcentral's name for it is "SSU rRNA". It matches the Rfam family "Bacterial small subunit ribosomal RNA". The record is from RNAcentral.